GGGGAAUUUUCCGCAAUGGGCGAAAGCCUGACGGAGCAAUACCGCGUGAGGGAGGAAGGCUCUUGGGUCGUAAACCUCUUUUCUCAGGGAAGAACACAAUGACGGUACCUGAGGAAUAAGCAUCGGCUAACUCCGUGCCAGCAGCCGCGGUAAUACGGAGGAUGCAAGCGUUAUCCGGAAUGAUUGGGCGUAAAGCGUCCGCAGGUGGCUGUGUAAGUCUGCUGUUAAAGAGUCUAGCUCAACUAGAUAAGAGCAGUGGAAACUACACGGCUAGAGUACGUUCGGGGCAGAGGGAAUUCCUGGUGUAGCGGUGAAAUGCGUAGAGAUCAGGAAGAACACCGGUGGCGAAGGCGCUCUGCUAGGCCGUAACUGACACUGAGGGACGAAAGCUAGGGGAGCGAAUGGGAUUAGAUACCCCAGUAGUCCUAGCCGUAAACGAUGGAUACUAGGCGUGGCUUGUAUCGACCCGAGCCGUGCUGUAGCUAACGCUUAAGUAUCCCGCCUGGGGAGUACGCCGGCAACGGUGAAACUCAAAGGAAUUGACGGGGGCCCGCACAAGCGGUGGAGUAUGUGGUUUAAUUCGAUGCAACGCGAAGAACCUUACCAAGGCUUGACAUGUCGCGAAUCCUGGUGAAAGCUGGGAGUGCCUUCGGGAGCGCGAACACAGGUGGUGCAUGGCUGUCGUCAGCUCGUGUCGUGAGAUGUUGGGUUAAGUCCCGCAACGAGCGCAACCCUCGUUUUUAGUUGCCAGCAUUAAGUUGGGCACUCUAGAGAGACUGCCGGUGACGAACCGGAGGAAGGUGGGGAUGACGUCAAGUCAGCAUGCCCCUUACGCCUUGGGCUACACACGUACUACAAUGCUCCGGACAGAGGGUAGCAAGCCAGCGAUGGCAAGCAAAUCCCGUAAACCGGAGCUCAGUUCAGACCGCAGGCUGCAACUCGCCUGCGUGAAGGAGGAAUCGCUAGUAAUUGCAGGUCAGCAUACUGCAGUGAAUUCGUUCCCGGGCCUUGUACACACCGCCCGUCACACCAUGGAAGCUGGUAGUGCCCGAAGUCAUUACUCCAACCUUUCGGGGAGGAGGAUGCCUAAGGCAGGACUGGUGACUGGGGUGAAGUCGUAACAAGGUAGCCGUACCGGAAGGUGUGGCUGGAUCACCUCCUU
Molecule: ribosomal RNA, 1162 nt
Filed under: Nostoc sp. ATA1-4-CV7
Lineage: Bacteria; Bacillati; Cyanobacteriota; Cyanophyceae; Nostocales; Nostocaceae
Description: bacterial SSU rRNA
Rfam family: Bacterial small subunit ribosomal RNA
Source: RNAcentral